This 465-nucleotide ribosomal RNA is filed under the name Chaetosphaeria sp. olrim767. Its description in RNAcentral is "eukaryotic LSU rRNA". The stretch from base 146 to 299 matches the Rfam family "5.8S ribosomal RNA". Lineage: Eukaryota; Fungi; Ascomycota; Sordariomycetes; Chaetosphaeriales; Chaetosphaeriaceae. The record is from RNAcentral.
UAUCACCCUGUGAACUUACCUAUAAGCACGUUGCUUCGGCGAGUGUCCCAGAGAGGGUCCGCCCUCCCCGGGACGCUACGCUCGCCGGCAGCCUACUAAACUCUGUUUCUUUGCGUUGGCAUCUCGAGUAAAUCAAACAAGUUAAAACUUUCAACAACGGAUCUCUUGGUUCUGGCAUCGAUGAAGAACGCAGCGAAAUGCGAUAAGUAAUGCGAAUUGCAGAAUUCCGUGAGUCAUCGAAUCUUUGAACGCACAUUGCGCCCGCCAGCAUUCUGGCGGGCAUGCCUGUUCGAGCGUCAUUUCAACCCUCAGGCCCUGCCUGGUGUUGGAGGACUGCGCACGCAGCCUCCCAAAGCAAGCGGCGGCGGCGCCCCGAGACCGAACGCAGUAGUUACUUCUCGUUCUGGGACUGGGUCGUUGUCCUGCCGGAAAACCCCCAUCUUUUUAAUGGUUGACCUCGAAUCA